RNAcentral lists this ribosomal RNA (497 nucleotides) under uncultured bacterium. RNAcentral's name for it is "partial 16S ribosomal RNA". It matches the Rfam family "Bacterial small subunit ribosomal RNA", at positions 36 to 507 of the family's 1533-position model. The record is from RNAcentral.
UCUUCCCUCUUUCCUCGUGCCUAAUACAUGCAAGUCGAGCGAACAGACGAGGAGCUUGCUCCUCUGACGUUAGCGGCGGACGGGUGGGUAACACGUGGAUAACCUACCUAUAAGACUGGGAUAACUUCGGGAAACCGGAGCUAAUACCGGAUAAUAUAUUGAACCGCAUGGUUCAAUAGUGAAAGACGGUUUUGCUGUCACUUAUAGCUGGAUCCGCGCCGCAUUAGCUAGUUGGUAAGGUAACGGCUUACCCAGGCAACGAUGCGUAGCCGACCUGAGCGGGUGAUCGGCCACACUGGAACUGAGACACGGUACAGACUCCUACGGUGGGCAGCAGUAGGGAAUCUUACGCAAUGGGCGAAAGCCUGACGUAGCAACGCCGCGUGAGUGAUGAAGGUCUUCGGAUCGUAAAAUUCUGUUAUUAGGGAAGAACAAAUGUUUAAGUAACUAUGCACGUCUUGACGGUACCUAAUCAGAAAGCCACGGCUAACUCCGUG